This 471-nucleotide ribosomal RNA is filed under the name Neisseria flavescens. RNAcentral's name for it is "bacterial SSU rRNA". It matches the Rfam family "Bacterial small subunit ribosomal RNA", at positions 36 to 496 of the family's 1533-position model. The record is from RNAcentral. Lineage: Bacteria; Pseudomonadati; Pseudomonadota; Betaproteobacteria; Neisseriales; Neisseriaceae.
AUUGAACCUGCGGCAUGCUUUACACAUGCAAGUCGGACGGCAGCACAGAGAAGCUUGCUUCUUGGGUGGCGAGUGGCGAACGGGUGAGUAAUAUAUCGGAACGUCCGAGUAAUGGGGGAUACUAAUCGAAAGAUUAGCUAAUACCGCAUAUUCUCUGAGGAGGAAAGCAGGGGACCUUCGGGCCUUGCGUUAUUCGAGCGGCCGAUAUCUGAUUAGCUAGUUGGUGGGGUAAAGGCCUACCAAGGCGACGAUCAGUAGCGGGUCUGAGAGGAUGAUCCGCCACACUGGGACUGAGACACGGCCCAGACUCCUACGGGAGGCAGCAGUGGGGAAUUUUGGACAAUGGGCGCAAGCCUGAUCCAGCCAUGCCGCGUGUUGAGAAGGCCUUCGGGUUGUAAAGGACUUUUGUCAGGGAAGAAAAGGCUGUUGCUAAUACCGACAGCUGAUGACGGUACUAAGAAUAAGCACGGC